GGAUGAACGCUAGCGGCAGGCUUAAUACAUGCAAGUCGUGGGGCAGCGCAGUGUAGCAAUACAUGGGCGGCGACCGGCAAACGGGUGCGGAACACGUACACAACCUUCCUUCAAAUGGGGAAUAGCCCAGGGAAACUUGGAUUAAUACCCCGUAACAUUAUGAGGUGGCAUCACUUUAUAAUUAUAGCUCCGGCGUUUGGAGAUGGGUGUGCGGCUGAUUAGGUAGUUGGCGGGGAACGGCCCACUAAGCCUUCGAUCAGUAACUCGGUGUGAGAGCACGACCAGUCACACGGGCACUGAGACACGGG
This 308-nucleotide ribosomal RNA is filed under the name uncultured bacterium. RNAcentral describes it as "bacterial SSU rRNA". It matches the Rfam family "Bacterial small subunit ribosomal RNA", at positions 27 to 330 of the family's 1533-position model. The record is from RNAcentral.